CACCAACAGACAGACAGAGACCUGGAGGAUAAACAACACCAACCUGACCUGGGCGGUAUGGAGAGAGGUCCUAGCAGCAGCCAGGUGUGGAACCCCUCCUCUGUUAUCUGUAUGGACAGAGCAGAGCCCCCCCUGCUGACCUGGUGGUCCACCUGCAGGUCUGGGAUGGGGAGAGGAGGAAAACAUCAGUCCACUGGAGAGGAGUGGCCACCAUACAGGACCCUCGGCUGUUUCAAGGUCGAUGCCUGACUUACUGGCUACAGGCGUGUGACUGACAGCUCGAGUGUCGGCGGCAUGCUCUCGCGCUGUCCUGCUGUCAGUCACUCUGGAGAUGGGUUCUGCGCCAAGGCGACCGGAGCAGCAA
This is a long non-coding RNA of Oncorhynchus gorbuscha (pink salmon), 364 nucleotides long. RefSeq lists it as uncharacterized. The record is from RefSeq and is a predicted model, not a curated record. NCBI's taxonomy places the organism in Eukaryota, Metazoa, Chordata, Actinopteri, Salmoniformes, Salmonidae. The transcript has 3 exons.